RNAcentral lists this non-coding RNA (399 nucleotides) under Tatumella ptyseos ATCC 33301. RNAcentral describes it as "cspA thermoregulator". It matches the Rfam family "cspA thermoregulator", at positions 93 to 428 of the family's 428-position model. The record is from Rfam by way of RNAcentral. Lineage: Bacteria; Pseudomonadati; Pseudomonadota; Gammaproteobacteria; Enterobacterales; Erwiniaceae.
AAUUGUGCAAUAAAUGCUCUAUAAGCAAAAAAUCGAGACAUUUAUCACUUUUUCAUCAAAUGGUGCUGGACAAAUUGCACCGCAAUUGAUGUACUACGUGACGACACAGUUUAGUGUCCAUUUUUCAAGUAAAGGUAAUAUAGAUGUCCAAGAUUAAAGGUAACGUUAAGUGGUUUAAUGAAUCUAAAGGAUUCGGUUUCAUUACUCCUGAAGAUGGCAGCAAAGAUGUAUUCGUACACUUCUCUGCAAUCCAGAGCAAUGGCUUCAAAACUCUGGCUGAAGGUCAGCGCGUAGAGUUUGAAAUUACUGACGGUGCUAAAGGCCCAUCUGCUGCUAACGUUAUCAGCCUGUAAUUUUCAGUCAGAAUCUCUAAAACCCGCCAAUGGCGGGUUUUUUAUU